RNAcentral lists this ribosomal RNA (429 nucleotides) under Bacteroidota bacterium. RNAcentral's name for it is "Bacteroidetes bacterium partial 16S ribosomal RNA". It matches the Rfam family "Bacterial small subunit ribosomal RNA", at positions 355 to 776 of the family's 1533-position model. Lineage: Bacteria; Pseudomonadati; Bacteroidota. The record is from RNAcentral.
UAGGGAAUCUUCCGCAAUGGACGCAAGUCUGACGGAGCAACGCCGCGUGAGUGAAGAAGGAUUUCGGUUCGUAAAACUCUGUUGUUAGAGAAGAACAGCGCAUAGAGUAACUGUUAUGCGUGUGACGGUAUCUAACCAGAAAGCCACGGCUAACUACGUGCCAGCAGCCGCGGUAAUACGUAGGUGGCAAGCGUUGUCCGGAUUUAUUGGGCGUAAAGCGAGCGCAGGCGGUCAAUUAAGUCUGAUGUGAAAGCCCCCGGCUCAACCGGGGAGGGUCAUUGGAAACUGGUUGAAUUGAGUGCAGAAGAGGAGAGUGGAAUUCCAUGUGUAGCGGUGAAAUGCGUAGAUAUAUGGAGGAACACCAGUGGCGAAGGCGACUCUCUGGUCUGUAACUGACGCUGAGGUUCGAAAGCGUGGGUAGCAAACAGG